Molecule: unclassified non-coding RNA, 814 nt
Filed under: Hevea brasiliensis (rubber tree)
Lineage: Eukaryota; Viridiplantae; Streptophyta; Magnoliopsida; Malpighiales; Euphorbiaceae
Source: RNAcentral
AGACUGCAGCCUUCUCAUCUUUUCUCUUGUCCUAAAUGAUACACAUUUAAGCAAGUUCAUCCAAACGCAACAAAAUCCCAUAUAACAAUUACCACUUAACAAGCAUCAAAAUCAAAACAACAUACCCAUUUCUUAAAAUCAAAACUACCUAUUCUCCCCCUAACCCACCACCAAAGUCUGCAAUUAUGAAGCUUAAAAUCCAAUACCCAUUCGUCUCAUGUUGUAGGGCCAGUGGCAAUAACAACUCCGAAAUGAUACUUUGGAGCCGAUCGGGUGACGUUCGGAGGCGAAGGCUCUGAUGGCGCAGUGGACACUGCAAACGCUGACGAGAAGAAGUAGGAGGAAAAGGAGCAGAGUUGGGGUUGGUCUACGUCGUCCACAGCUGCGAUGGCUGAUUGAAGCCGACGCUUUGCUCGAUAUAUGAGGAUAACGUGGUCGUGGUGGUCCUGGUGGAGGAGGGAAAGGAAAGAGGUGUAGCUGGUGACCACGUCCUUGAGGUCAACGUGGAGGGUGUAGCAUGUAGGCAUCAGGUGCUGGUAGUUGACGAGCACUGCCAAUUCUUGUAAACCAUUGAGGCUUCAUUUGUUUCUGUUCUGUUGGGUAUAUGUUUGUGCAUCAAUUUGUUUCUCUGUUGAAUGUUAAUUAAGAAAUUGAUUGCUGAGUGCCACGAUUAGAGAAUUGAAACUGGGAUUUGAGAUUGUGUUUAGAGUUGAGGAUUGGGAUUAUGAAUUUAUGAAUUUCUGGUUCCAGAUUUUUAGUUUAUUUUUUGAGAAGAAUAUCAAUGGUUACUAAUUGAGAUUAUUAAGGCUAUUUU